RNAcentral lists this ribosomal RNA (253 nucleotides) under uncultured bacterium. RNAcentral describes it as "partial 16S ribosomal RNA". It matches the Rfam family "Bacterial small subunit ribosomal RNA", at positions 524 to 776 of the family's 1533-position model. The record is from RNAcentral.
UACGAAGGGGGCUAGCGUUGCUCGGAAUCACUGGGCGUAAAGCGCACGUAGGCGGCUUCUUAAGUCAGGGGUGAAAUCCUGGAGCUCAACUCCAGAACUGCCUUCGAUACUGGGAGUCUCGAGUCCGGGAGAGGUGAGUGGAACUGCGAGUGUAGAGGUGAAAUUCGUAGAUAUUCGCAAGAACACCAGUGGCGAAGGCGGCUCACUGGCCCGGUACUGACGCUGAGGUGCGAAAGCGUGGGGAGCAAACAGG